AGUAACACGUGGAUAACCUACCUAUAAGACUGGGAUAACUUCGGGAAACCGGAGCUAAUACCGGAUAAUAUUUUGAGUCGCAUGGUUCAAAAGUGAAAGACGGUCUUGCUGUCACUUAUAGAUGGAUUCGCGCUGCAUUAGCUAGUUGGUAAGGUAACGGCUUACCAAGGCAACGAUGCAUAGCCGACCUGAGAGGGUGAUCGGCCACACUGGAACUGAGACACGGUCCAG
RNAcentral lists this ribosomal RNA (231 nucleotides) under uncultured Staphylococcus sp. Its description in RNAcentral is "partial 16S ribosomal RNA". It matches the Rfam family "Bacterial small subunit ribosomal RNA", at positions 109 to 334 of the family's 1533-position model. The record is from RNAcentral. Lineage: Bacteria; Bacillati; Bacillota; Bacilli; Caryophanales; Staphylococcaceae.